UACGUAGGUGACAAGCGUUGUCCGGAUUUACUGGGCGUAAAGAGCGCGCAGGCGGUCGAUCAAGUCGAGUGUGAAAGCCCCCGGCUCAACUGGAGAGGGUCAUUCGAAACUGGUCGACUCGAAGGCAGGAGAGGGUAGUGGAAUUCCCGGUGUAGUGGUGAAAUGCGUAGAUAUCUGGAGGAAUACCGGUGGCGAAGGCGGCAUCCUGGACCGACAUUGACGCUGAGGAGCGAAAGCUAGGGGAGCAAACGGG
RNAcentral lists this ribosomal RNA (253 nucleotides) under uncultured bacterium. RNAcentral describes it as "partial 16S ribosomal RNA". It matches the Rfam family "Bacterial small subunit ribosomal RNA", at positions 524 to 776 of the family's 1533-position model. The record is from RNAcentral.